Molecule: ribosomal RNA, 554 nt
Filed under: Colletotrichum gloeosporioides
Lineage: Eukaryota; Fungi; Ascomycota; Sordariomycetes; Glomerellales; Glomerellaceae
Description: eukaryotic LSU rRNA
Rfam family: 5.8S ribosomal RNA (bases 205-358)
Source: RNAcentral
CUUCCGUAGGGUAACCUGCGGAGGGAUCAUUACUGAGUUUACGCUCUAUAACCCUUUGUGAACAUACCUAUAACUGUUGCUUCGGCGGGUAGGGUCUCCGCGACCCUCCCGGCCUCCCGCCUCCGGGCGGGUCGGCGCCCGCCGGAGGAUAACCAAACUCUGAUUUAACGACGUUUCUUCUGAGUGGUACAAGCAAAUAAUCAAAACUUUUAACAACGGAUCUCUUGGUUCUGGCAUCGAUGAAGAACGCAGCGAAAUGCGAUAAGUAAUGUGAAUUGCAGAAUUCAGUGAAUCAUCGAAUCUUUGAACGCACAUUGCGCCCGCCAGCAUUCUGGCGGGCAUGCCUGUUCGAGCGUCAUUUCAACCCUCAAGCUCUGCUUGGUGUUGGGGCCCUACAGCUGAUGUAGGCCCUCAAAGGUAGUGGCGGACCCUCCCGGAGCCUCCUUUGCGUAGUAACUUUACGUCUCGCACUGGGAUCCGGAGGGACUCUUGCCGUAAAACCCCCCAAUUUUCCAAAGGUUGACCUCGGAUCAGGGUAGGAAUCCCCACUUCCA